This is a long non-coding RNA of Salvia splendens (bonfire salvia), 2677 nucleotides long. RefSeq lists it as uncharacterized. The transcript has 2 exons. NCBI's taxonomy places the organism in Eukaryota, Viridiplantae, Streptophyta, Magnoliopsida, Lamiales, Lamiaceae. The record is from RefSeq and is a predicted model, not a curated record.
CCUCUCUUACUUUUUUAUCUAUUUAUUUAACACAUUCAACAUCUCUUUCUUAAACUCCGUGCCGAAAAGUUUUGCCUCAACUAUGAAGAAACGGAGGGAGUAUGGGAGUACUAAUACUCCAUCUGUUUAAGGGUGGGAAUUCGAGUACCCUUGGAUACCCCACCCAAGAAAACCAGGUACCUGAACCCGAAAAUAGUUUAAAGUGCACAUCCGAUACCCGGCCCGGCCUCGAUAUAUUUUUACUAAUUAAUGUGACAAACAUAUUCUAUCUUUUUCACUAUGGAAAAAGGAGGAUGAUGGGGUGUGUGUGGUUGCAUUAUUACGGCAAUUGCAUGAAGUAGUGGUUAGAGAGUUAAACUGUCCAACUCAACCUACUGUUAGCUAGGUCAUUGAUUAAUUUGUCUGGUUAUUUCGAGCCACAUUAACAUACUUUCCAUCAUUUCUCCUAAAUAUGGAGAAAGAGUAAAAAAAAAAAAGGACUCUUUACGUUACACGAUAAAAGGUUUCCAAUUUCACUAAAAUAGUUAAAUUCAUCGGCACUCCUCGGGAUAUCUUUUUCUAGAAGCCUCUCCUCAGCAGCUCUUAUUUCUCGUUCCCUUUACAGAAGAAGCAACUGAAAGUCAAACUCCAAUGCUAUAGCAACCAUCAUAAAACACAAGUAGAAAGCAGAAGCAUUAAUCAAAUUUCAACAGAAUUAGAGCAAGAUUCUUCUAGGGCUCCAAUUUGAGAAAACAUGAUACUCCCUCCGUCCCAUACAAAUAGGCUAUUUGAGGUCGGCACGAGUUUUAAUAUGUAAUUGGUAAAAUAAGAGAAAAUGAAAAAAAUAGCAGUUGAAAUUGUGUAGUGACUGUGGGACUCAUAAAUGAUAAAGGAAAAAAGGGAGAAAAAUGUUUCUAUAAAUGAAUAUGGACUAUUUCUAUGGGACGGUUGAAAAAAGAAAUGUGACAUAUUUCUAUGGGACGGAGGGAGUAUAAUUUUUAAUACAAGAAAAUAAUUAUAAAGGAAAAUUAUAUACUACAUGUUAAAUUUGUUUUAAUGGUUCUGGCUUGACCGGCUAGCCCAAAACUGAGUGGAUUAUGAUUAGAAUUGAAAUAGUCACGUACAGUGCGACAAAAAUUUACCCCCAACUCCAUUAUUCAAGAGCCAAGCAUUUAUUGUUUAUUUAUUUUUAUUCAACCACAAUAGAGACCAAUAUUUUGUCUUUUCCUAUCAUUAUGUUCUGAAUGAAAUCAUACAUCGAGCCAAAAAUUUUCGGGAAUAGUUAUCUUCGCUAUCUUUUAAGAACUACUCUUAUUUAAAGUGUUAUUAGUGUUAUUUGAUUUGUUGCCUACUUUAGAGUGUUCUACGAUUUGAUAUUAUUUAUUGUUUGAUUUGUUUGCUAUUUUACUAAUUAAUUAUUUAUGUUUAUUUAAUUGCCAUGAGGGAUGAUUGUAAUGAUUUAUAAUAUCAAAGAAGAAUUAUUUAAAUCUCAAUUCUCUAACGCAGGUGGCAUUUCUUUUCUCUAAUACAUUUUCACGAAAAAUAGUGUCAUAUUUUCAUUUUUCACUUGUUUAUCAAAACUAAUCCCAUUUGAUAAUGUGGUAUCAUAACAUUUUUCAUCUUUUUUUUCUUUCUUUUCCAUUUGUUUUAUCAACUUUUCUUUCUUUUUCAUUUUUUCAUGGAUAGAGGAAUAUUAUUUUGUAUAAAAUAAAUUUUCAUUCAAAUAAUAUGUCACCCUAAACAAAUUAAAUGAACGUGCAUGGAAAUUUUCAGUUAUUAUUAUUAUUAGUACAAUUGUCGCUUUGAUCCAACGCAGUCUUCGUUUAACUAAUAGACGACCCCAAAGUCUUCAUCUCUAUCAAUAUAGUUAACCGACCAAUGAAUCACCCUUCACACUACUUUCAACCAGUUGGAAUCCACACAAGAAUAAAAUUUAUAUACUAUUAAUUAAGGAUUUACUUUUCAAACGAGUAAAAUAAGAGAUUUUGACAAAAACAAAUUCUUGAUUCUCAAAUUUUAACAUAAAAUUACUAAAGUAGAACUCUUAAUUAAUUAUAAAAUUUCAAAAUUGUUGGCUCCCUAACCACCCUGCUUCUUCAACUUGCAUAUAUAAUAUAAGCAUGGUUGCUCGUAAUAACUUCAGCUUGCAUAUAUAUACAUUAGAUUUUCUAUAAAUCCAAAAAAAUGGUUCAAAGAAGAAUUGAAAUUAUGGCCCUUUUAUUAUUGAUGGCUCUUCUAAUUUCCUCGCAAGUUGCAGACGCUCGGCACCUCAAUCGAGUUUCAUCAAAUAAAGAAGGUGAGAAGAUGAUGAGAAGCUAUGCACGUUUUCGGUGCCCCCAUGGAUGUUGUAAUACUAUUGGUGCUGUUGCGGAUGCUGAGGCCGGUGCUGGUGCUGGUGCUCCUCGUACAGCCGUAGCAGCCGGGCCUCCCCCAUAUUGUCGCUGCUGCCUGUAGCCCAACAAUAGCCCUAGUAUAUUAGCUUAAGUUUUUUUUUUAAUAAGGAAAGUAAAGUUUGUUAAAAUUCUUAAUAUCUUGUCCCACAUCGACUUGGUAACGAUCCUAGCUCACCUAUAAAAGUAUGGAUAACCCUCCCCUUAUAAGGCCUUAUAAGGGGUGAGUGAUUCAUUUCUAAUAAAGUUCAUGGCUUACCUGUAAAUUGAAUAUGUUGGACUAAUUGACCGAUAUUUUUCUUGUUAAA